AGGCUUGUAGCUCAGGUGGUUGGAGCGGACCCCUGAUAUGGGUGAGGUCGGUUGUUCAAGUCCACUCAGGCCUACCG
Molecule: transfer RNA, 77 nt
Filed under: Shigella sonnei
Lineage: Bacteria; Pseudomonadati; Pseudomonadota; Gammaproteobacteria; Enterobacterales; Enterobacteriaceae
Description: tRNA-Ile
Rfam family: tRNA
About the family: Transfer RNA (tRNA) molecules are approximately 80 nucleotides in length. Their secondary structure includes four short double-helical elements and three loops (D, anti-codon, and T loops). Further hydrogen bonds mediate the characteristic L-shaped molecular structure. tRNAs have two regions of fundamental functional importance: the anti-codon, which is responsible for specific mRNA codon recognition, and the 3' end, to which the tRNAs corresponding amino acid is attached (by aminoacyl-tRNA synthetases). tRNAs cope with the degeneracy of the genetic code in two manners: having more than one tRNA (with a specific anti-codon) for a particular amino acid; and 'wobble' base-pairing, i.e. permitting non-standard base-pairing at the 3rd anti-codon position.
Source: RNAcentral